UACGGAGGGGGCUAGCGUUGUUCGGAAUUACUGGGCGUAAAGGGCUCGUAGGCGGCCAACUAAGUCGGACGUGAAAUCCCCAGGCUCAACCUGGGAACUGCGUCCGAUACUGGAUGGCUUGAAUCCGGGAGAGGGAUGCAGAAUUCCAGGUGUAGCGGUGAAAUGCGUAGAUAUCUGGAGGAAUACCGGUGGCGAAGGCGGCAUCCUGGACCGGCAUUGACGCUGAGGAGCGAAAGCCAGGGGAGC
RNAcentral lists this ribosomal RNA (246 nucleotides) under uncultured bacterium. RNAcentral's name for it is "partial 16S ribosomal RNA". It matches the Rfam family "Bacterial small subunit ribosomal RNA", at positions 524 to 769 of the family's 1533-position model. The record is from RNAcentral.